Molecule: ribosomal RNA, 377 nt
Filed under: uncultured bacterium
Lineage: Bacteria
Description: bacterial SSU rRNA
Rfam family: Bacterial small subunit ribosomal RNA
Source: RNAcentral
UAAGACAGAGGGUGCAAACGUUGUUCGGAAUUACUGGGCGUAAAGCGCGUGUAGGCGGCAAUACAAGUCGGAUGUGAAAUCCCGCGGCUUAACCGUGGAAGUGCACCCGAAACUGUAUCGCUAGAGUCCCGGAGAGGAUGGUGGAAUACUUGGUGUAGAGGUGAAAUUCGUAGAUAUCAAGUGGAACACCGGUGGCGAAGGCGGCCAUCUGGACGGUGACUGACGCUGAGACGCGAAAGCGUGGGUAGCAAACAGGAUUAGAUACCCUGGUAGUCCACGCCGUAAACGAUGAGUGCUAGUUGUCAGAGGCUUUGACCCUUCUGGUGACGAAGCUAACGCGUUAAGCACUCCGCCUGGGGAGUACGGUCGCAAGACUA